GGCCUUGUAGCUCAGAGGUUAGAGCGCUCGUUUCCGAUGCGAGAAGUCCCAGGUUCGAUCCCUGGCCAGGUCG
This 73-nucleotide transfer RNA is filed under the name Coemansia erecta. Its description in RNAcentral is "tRNA-Arg". It matches the Rfam family "tRNA". Rfam says of the family: Transfer RNA (tRNA) molecules are approximately 80 nucleotides in length. Their secondary structure includes four short double-helical elements and three loops (D, anti-codon, and T loops). Further hydrogen bonds mediate the characteristic L-shaped molecular structure. tRNAs have two regions of fundamental functional importance: the anti-codon, which is responsible for specific mRNA codon recognition, and the 3' end, to which the tRNAs corresponding amino acid is attached (by aminoacyl-tRNA synthetases). tRNAs cope with the degeneracy of the genetic code in two manners: having more than one tRNA (with a specific anti-codon) for a particular amino acid; and 'wobble' base-pairing, i.e. permitting non-standard base-pairing at the 3rd anti-codon position. The record is from RNAcentral. Lineage: Eukaryota; Fungi; Kickxellomycota; Kickxellomycetes; Kickxellales; Kickxellaceae. RNAcentral also lists the same sequence under 1 other name.